Molecule: long non-coding RNA, 1495 nt
Organism: Acanthaster planci (crown-of-thorns starfish)
Lineage: Eukaryota; Metazoa; Echinodermata; Asteroidea; Valvatida; Acanthasteridae
Source: RefSeq, a predicted model, not a curated record
AACUCCGACUUGUAUUCCCCGUGCAGUCUAGUCUAUGGAACGUUUCCUGCUCCCCCAAAUUCCCUUCUCGCCACACCUCCCCUUCUAUUCCUAUUGGCUCCCUGCCCACACGUGGUUUGCUUUAUGUCAUCGCUUACCAUCUUAAUUAUUGUCAUUUGUAGUUGGGUCUUCAGGCGAGAGGCAUCUGGCAUAGACGCUCUGGCUAUUUCCUUCGGGCAUUUCACACCUUGUAGUCGGCCACCCUUAAUGACAUCAUUGGUGCUGAUAUUUAGUCCUUCAUGGUUCUGUCGCCAUGUUUUUAUCCAGCUACCCCUCGGCACAAGAAGCCAACAACAGAAGAAAGUCAUCAAGCUUUGCGCCCUUCCUCUAGUCUUGAGUCUUGAAGCUGCGAGAGGGACAAACUGACAUAUGGAGCUGUCUUGAGACAUCUUGCGUCACAUGGUCAACCAACUAACAUCUAAGGAAUCCAAGGCUGCUGGGGACAUCUUGGGUUCAGUCUUGUAACAACCAGACAUGGAUGACUUGGUCUGACCUGCCAGCGGCACACACUACCAGAAGGAACAAAUGAGGAAAUGUUAAACAUGAACACUUCAUGAUUCAAUUGCAAUCUCCAAGUGAAAGCUGCUACAAGCUAAUUUACACUCGGUGGCUCUCCAAAAAAUCUAAAUUUGGACUCUGCAAUUUCAAAGUCUGAAUGUGGAAAUUGAAAACAUUUUAACUAGUGGAACUCCAGAACGAACUCUAAAAAUGCAGACUGACCCUCUCGCCAUUCUCGACGCAUAUACUUUGCAGAUUAACAUUUGAAAUGUGAUAAAAACCAGUAUGUUUGUGGAAAGCAUGUUGGUACUAGAGGUUUAGAAACUUCUUUUAACAAGAUCCUGAAUCUCUGACGUCUCUUCAAACAAAAGCUGCCUUCCUGGAAAGAGUUAUAUAUGUAUGCAGACGACAGUAAUUAUUCCCUACUGUAACUUAUUAGCCAUUACAAAGCAAAAACACGUCAAGAAAAUGUUCAAUUUAGGAUGGAAAAUACUUUGUCAUUUACGUAGAAAACUCUUAGAAUUUUGCAGACUAGUCUCAAUGGGUUUUGUGCAAGAGGCAUCAAGUGGUGUCUUCAUAUGAAACUCUUUCCACCUUCCUGCUUACAAAAUUUCACUUGUUAAGAGUUCUUUGUGACUUUGUAACCUUUUACAAUUCAAACAGACACUGAAUUUCAAACGUGUCUUUAGUGCAUUUGUAGCAUUUGUUGGACAAUUUUUUCCUCAAGCUGUGAGGCCAAAUUUUUAUAUUUGUUCUGAAACUAAAACGAAGGAGUUUUACACCCCACAAAUUUAUUUGCAGAGGUAAAUUUUGCCAACUGAAACUUGCAGUUAAAUUGAGUCUGGAAGUUUUUCCCUCGAAAGUUUGUCAGUGACCUCUUAAAUGCAGGAAGUGCACCACUUACAAUUAUUUGUACUCUGAAUUUACACCCACAAGAAUAAAACAGGAAGAAUUGUGA